Molecule: long non-coding RNA, 2357 nt
Filed under: Musa acuminata (dwarf banana)
Lineage: Eukaryota; Viridiplantae; Streptophyta; Magnoliopsida; Zingiberales; Musaceae
Description: long non-coding RNA (MACU_LNC006695)
Source: RNAcentral
AAACAAGAAGAAUACCGUCAGUAGAAAAAGGGAGGACAUGGCAUCAGCUUCGUCAUCAUCGUCACCCCUCCUUGGGAUCAAAGAUGAGGAGCUUCAACAUGAACAGAAACAACAGCAGCAGUCCUCUUCCGCCACGCUGCCUGCAACUCUGAAGAAGAAAAGAAACCAACCAGGAAACCCAAGCAAGUAUCUGAAACAUUCAUCCACAUUUAUGUGCUCCCUCUUUCUAAUUAUAUUAUAUGCUGCUCCUCCAGCUCCACUAAAGGAUGCAUGUCUUAGUCCUGCAUACUAGACUUCUCUUCAGAUCGUGAAAACCCUAUGCUGUAGAAUUGGGAUUCACCAUCUGUGUUCCCAAUCUUCUUUUCGUAUUCCUGUUCAACGCUUGCUAUGCGCAUACAGUUCCCUCUGGUUCUCGUUGGUACGGAUGAAGUUUUCCUCCACUUCAAUCCCAUCUCUUUUCUGUCAUUUCCUUACUUUCUUUUAUUUGAAAAAAAAUUAGGAGAUAGUGAGAAUAAGACGGAGGAGAGAGAGUCCUUACACAAUUACAUUCUUCUCUUCACAUCUAUAAUUUGUUUUCACGUAUUUAAUAUUAUAAACCCUAUCUAUUUAUGCUUUUUAGAUUACACAUUAAACAUUAUGUGCAUAUCGAGGGGUUCAUGCAUCCUUUUGAUGAUAAUCCUAUUUAAUAUAAUUUUAUAUUUUUAUGCAUCUGUUCAUUGUGUCUUUUAUAUAUAAGAUAAUACAUUAAAUUUAUUUUCUAUCUCAUUCCUACUCCAUCCUAUCCAGUUGCUGCAUACUAAUAUUAUAGAUUGAAUAAUGGUAUCCACGACCGAAUCCACAUGUCUGCAGCAGCAGAUCCUGAGGUGGAGGUGAUCGCGCUGUCGCCGGAGACGCUGCUGGCGACGAACCGAUUCGUCUGCGAGGUGUGCAACAAGGGGUUUCAACGGGAGCAGAACCUGCAGCUGCACCGCCGCGGGCACAACCUGCCAUGGAAGCUCCGGCUGAGAAGCGGCGAGGAGGAGGGGAGGCGCCGCCGCCGGGUGUACCUCUGCCCCGAGCCGACGUGCGCUCACCACCAUCCCUCCCGCGCCCUCGGCGACCUUACCGGUGUAAAAAAGCACUUCUGCCGCAAGCACGGCGAGAAGAGGUGGAAGUGCAACAAGUGCUCCAAGCGCUACGCCGUGCGCUCGGACCUUAAGGCGCAUUCCAAGACCUGCGGCAACUGCGAGUACCGCUGCGAGUGCGGCACGCUCUUCUCCAGGUCAGUAGUAGCAGUAGCAGCAUUCUCCAUUGCAUGAUUUCAUCAUUGGAUCAUCGUUAAAACAUAUGGUCAUUGACAACAGUUUCUUUCGUGAUUUAGUGUCCCUCUUUGGGUUUGGUGAUGAUUAGCCUUCUAUUAGGGCUCUUCUCUUACUUUAGGGUCGUUAUGGUUGGAUUCCAAGGGAGAGAAGUGUUGGGAAACGGCUGUAAGGAACUGCUCCCACGUGAAUUGGUCUAUACAAGUGCCAUGGUCAUGGGGGUUUCAGCUCAACAUAACCAAAAAAGCUUCUCAUCUUUUUCAUCUCGUUGGAACCAACGCCACCCUUCCAUCCCUCGUUUAAACUAUGUUUUCUCUCUCUAUAUAUCCUGUUCACGUGGUUGAAGUAACCAUCUUUGCAAGUUUGUUGUCUAGUGGCUUGGCUAAAUGUGAUUGCAGGUCCUGCGGCAGUGGCAGAUCAGCCUUUUCAUGGAAACGUUAGGCUAGAAACUUGGAAGUUCAUCCAAAUACAGAUGUCUGCCUCUCUCCUUUUAUUUCAAUGUGCUACAAAUGAGAUGUAUCCCUCUCUACACUAGAAUGCAAUUAAGUGAUAUGAUGGAUUCUUGUAAAGAAAGCCGAGGGGACAACCGUGGUGGUGCGUGGGAUGGCUUUUCAUGGUUUUGGCAAAUAUUCUCUUUAGGUAUUGGAAUCAUUGAUUGGGGGUUAGUUGAGUUGCAUGCUUCUUGCAAGGAUCCUCAUUGCAUUUAUUGACGACUGGGGGUUUCCUCCUCAAGGGCAGAUGUAGGUUGGAUUUGAUAAUUAUUAUUUCUUUCUUGACUUUUAAUUGACAUCAACUAUGAGAGUAUAAAUAGAUUUUGAAAUCUAAUUACAUAUAUAUAAUUUGAAGUGUAUGUGCAUGCAUGCUCAAGAUAGUAGGUUAGUUCAGAGAACAUACCUGGUGAGUUCUUCCAAUCAAUGCUACUCUUCUUCCAACCCUGAAGCAAGUUCAUGCAGUUUCUCUUCUUGUGAUUUGUACAGGCGUGACAGCUUCAUCACCCAUCGGGCGUUUUGCGACGCCUUGGCGCAGGAGAGCUCGAGACUCCCUGCCGCCGGCCUCGAC